Kogia breviceps (pygmy sperm whale) is the source of this 2071-nucleotide non-coding RNA. Lineage: Eukaryota; Metazoa; Chordata; Mammalia; Artiodactyla; Physeteridae. The record is from RefSeq and is a predicted model, not a curated record.
UACUAGAGUAAGUAUUUGAAAAAACCAUUUGAUACAUUUGUGGUUCUUUUUAAGUAUAUUUACAUACAAGAUUUAAUUGAGCAUUAACUAGAAUGUACAUUGACCAAAGUGUGUUUAAAGUUUUAGAUUUGUUGUUGAAAAAAAAUUCUGGGAGGAAAAAAAAAGUUACAGUUAAUUUCCAAAACAAGAAGUAACCAAGAGUUAAAGUGGUUCUAAAACGACCUAAAAAUUCAUCUUUCUGCAUAAUUGGAGAUUAGAGAGUUGUUCUGGGGGUGAACUAUAUUAAUUAGGGGGAACUCAAUGCACACGAGUUUUUGCUCAAGGGAUUUGGAUUGUAAAUAGAAGUCUAACAUAAAUCCCCAAAUUAUCUCACAAUUUACAGCAGUUUUCUAGUCUGCCAGAAGAGGGAGGUAAAGCAAGAGAAAUGUAAUUCACAAGUUAAACAGAAAAGGGCAGGACUUUAGUUUUUCAUAAGUUACGUGCAGAUUUCACUUAAGUAACACUAGGUGCGGCCAGUGCACGCACCCUCCGCCCAUCUUGGCCUGACCCAGGUUGGAUGAGGUUUCCUCGUGGGGUUACAUUAAACUCUAGGACCACAAGCAAAGUGGCUCAGAGGCAGAGUAGUCUGUCUUAUCCUUGAACCUUUAGAGUUGGCUUCUGCUGAGUCUCGCCAGGACUCAGGGAACAACACUCGGAAAAACAACCACUACCUCCCAACAGGUUAAUGGGCUAGGAUUUCAAGGCUAUAGUUUCUUCUCCAAAGUGACAGUGCCACACAAAUAAAAACAACAGUAGUAGUCCAGGAGUCAAAGGACCUGAAUUCAGUUUCCACUCCGGGCAAGAGGGAGAAAAAUGACUAUUGAAUAGCUACUAUGUGCUGAAGUCUCACGUGGUCCUGUGACCGAGCUGGGUCUGACAAGAUGGUGAGCCACCUUGGAAGGCUGCUUAGAGGGCAGGGACUCAAGUCUACAAGAAAGAAGGUCCUUUCAUCUCUAGCCCCGCCCACCUUUCUUGCUCCUGCGAGCCUGGAGAGUCGCUGAAGGCCAGAAGCUAACCUUGACAGGGAAGCCAGAGCUAAGGAUGGCAAAGAGCCUGGCUGGUCCCUGAGGACACAGUGCGGCCACUGUCAGCUUCAGACAAUCCACUCUGGAGGUUUUUGACUUGAGAAAAAUAAACUUCCCAUUAUUUUGGGCUUCUGUUUGAUGUAGUCAAACUUAGAUUGACUGUUAUAACAUUCACCAACAUUAUACUGUAUUUCAGUUUUCCUUUAACUGAAUACUGCUAUUUUAUUUUUGCUUGAGAGCUAUGAUAAUUUAUUCUACUUAGUGUCUGAAUGAAUGAAUUCUUGGACCUUUAGCUUUUGGUAUUUUGCACUGAAUUCAGUUGUUUUUCUUCAUAUCUGAUUUUGAUUAUGCCCUGUUAAUUAAACUGUCAUACACAGAGGAUGCUUGCAAAUUGUUUUUUACCUGUAGUAUUAAUUAUUAAACAAAAACGUUUGGAGAAUAAAUGUCCUCAUUAUUGCCUAACCCUAUUACCUAGCUAGCAAUCAACUUUAAUAAUACUAACCUCAUUCACUUUAUUUAAUUUGGAAUAUCUGUGGGGUAGGAAAAUAUAUUGGGCUUGCAAAGCUUUAAUUACCAUUUCCUUUCUUACCCCACACUGGGAAGAAACAGGUGAUGAAAUGUCUAAAAAAAGUACAUGACGAUCAAACAAAGUGGAGAAAGAAGGAAGUCUACUAGCAGGAACGGAGACUGGGGGUCUCGAGCGGGGGCUGGAUCAGAGGCAGAGAGCUCUCAGGACAGGGGACAGAUGGCCUCACCACAGGCAGCCAGGGUGGAGCAUCUGGAGGGUGACUGCUGGGUGGACGUGGAGCUGAGCAGAGAGAAGCACGAGAGCCUGGAGGUAAAGACUCAUCUCCACCCCCGCCCGUCUCCCGUUUUCCAGGAAAGUUGGGUUUUGCUUUGUUUAUCUAAAUUUACCUAAAGAGAAUGAAUAUUUCAUUGGGAACGUAAGCAAGGAUGAUGAUUGGUUUUCAUAUUAUGUAUGAGUGAAGAGGUUUCAUAAACUCUAU